This 823-nucleotide ribosomal RNA is filed under the name uncultured bacterium. RNAcentral's name for it is "bacterial SSU rRNA". It matches the Rfam family "Bacterial small subunit ribosomal RNA", at positions 28 to 823 of the family's 1533-position model. The record is from RNAcentral.
AACGAACGCUGGCGGCGUGGAUAAGACAUGCAAGUCGAGCGAUCAUUAGUGGGUAGCAAUAUUCGCUAGCGGGAGCGGCGCAAGGGUGCGUAACACGUGGGUAAUCUGCCGUGAAGUUUGGGAUAAUCCCGCGAAAGCGGGACUAAUACCGGAUGUGACUGCUGGGAGGCAUCUUCUGGUGGUUAAAGUUGGGGACCGCGAGGCCUGACGCUUCACGAUGAGCCCGCGGCCUAUCAGCUAGUUGGUGAGGUAACGGCUCACCAAGGCUAAGACGGGUAGCUGGUCUGAGAGGACGACCAGCCACACUGGAACUGAGACACGGUCCAGACACCUACGGGUGGCAGCAGUCGAGAAUUUUUCACAAUGGGGGAAACCCUGAUGGAGCGACGCCGCGUGGGGGAUGAAUGGCUUCGGCCCGUAAACCCCUGUCAUUCGCGAUCAACCGUGAUUAUUUAAAAGAUGGUCACCUGAUAGUAGCGGAAGAGGAAGGGACGGCUAACUCUGUGCCAGCAGCCGCGGUAAUACAGAGGUCCCGAGCGUUGUUCGGAUUCACUGGGCGUAAAGGGUGCGUAGGUGGUGGCGUAAGUCGGAUGUGAAAUCUCGGAGCUCAACUCCGAAACGGCAUUGGAAACUGCGCUGCUAGAGGGUUGGAGGGGGGACUGGAAUGCUUGGUGUAGCAGUGAAAUGCGUAGAUAUCAAGCGGAACACCAGUGGCGAAGGCGAGUCCCUGGACAACACCUGACACUGAGGCACGAAAGCUAGGGGGAGCAAACGGGAUUACAUACCCUGGUAGUCCUAGCCGUAAACGGUGCACGUUUGCUGU